UUAAAAUAAAUUUAUUAAAAAUAAUUAAAAAAAAUAAUUAUAAUUUAAGUAUCUUUUAGAGAAAAAAUAAUCUUUAUGAUAGUAAAAAGUAUUGAGAAAGAAAAUUGAAAUAAUUGAAAAUUACUUAAAUUAAAAGAAAUUUUUAUUUAUUGUACCUUGGGUAUCAGGGAUUAUUAAAUAAUUAAUAAUAAUUUUUAUUAAUUUCGAAAUAAAGAGAUUUAAUUUAAUAUUAAUUUUUAUUGUAGUAAAAUUAUUUUUUAUAUUAAAUUGGAAUUGAAAAAUUAAUCGGGCUUUAUUAUAUCUAAUUUUUUAAGGAAUAAAUUUAAUUUAAUUUAUUAUUUAUAUUGAAUUAUUUUUUUAAUUUAAUAAUAGGUAAUAAUUUAAAUAUUAAGGGAUAAGCUUUAAUAUUAAUAUUAUAAAAUAAAUAAAAUAUUUAUAAUUUAUAUAUUCUUAGAAAUAGAAAUUAUUAAUUUGUAUGUUAUAAUUUAAUAUUAAAAUAUAAUAAUAUUUAUUUUUUUUUAAUUAUAUAUUAAAAUGUUUAAUUUAAUAAAAGAAAUUAAAGUAAUAAUGAUAAUAUUAGUAUAAUUUGAAUGUUUUAAUAUAAUUUAUUUUAAAAAUAAUUAUAAGGAACUCGGCAAAUUUAAUGUUCGCCUGUUUAAUAAAAACAUGUCUUUUAGAUAAUUAAUUUAAGGUUUAAUCUGCCCACUGAAUAAUAUUGAAGGGCCGCAGUAUAUUAACUGUGCAAAGGUAGCAUAAUCAUUAGUUUUUUAAUUGAAAGCUAGAAUGAAUGAUUGGACGAAAUAUUAACUGUUUUAUUUUUAUUUAAAUAGAAUUUUAUUUUUUAAUUAAAAAGUUAAAAUAUUGUAAAAAGACGAGAAGACCCUAUAGAUCUUUAUAUAUAAAGUAUUUUAGUAAAAAUUAGUUAAAGAUUAUUUUAAAUUAUUUUUAUAUUAUAUUGGGGUAAUAAUAAAAUUUAUUUAAUUUUUAAUUAUUUUAUACAAUAAUAAUUGAUUUUUUGAUCCGAUAAUUAUCGAUUGUAAAGUUAAGUUACCUUAGGGAUAACAGCGUAAUGAUUUUUGAGAGUUCUUAUCGAUAAAAUAGUUUGUGACCUCGAUGUUGAAUUAAAAUUUAUUUUAGAUGCAGAGGUUUAAUUAAUAAGGUCUGUUCGACCUUUAAUAUUUUACAUGAUUUGAGUUUAGACCGGCGUGAGCCAGGUCAGUUUCUAUCUUUUAUAAAAUGAAAUAUAUUUUAGUACGAAAGGAUUAAAUAUAUAAUAAAUUUUAUUAAUAAAUUAGAAUAAUAAUAAAGGAGUAGUAAUAA
RNAcentral lists this ribosomal RNA (1320 nucleotides) under Lutzomyia trinidadensis. RNAcentral's name for it is "16S ribosomal RNA". The stretch from base 1058 to 1217 matches the Rfam family "Archaeal large subunit ribosomal RNA", at positions 2544 to 2703 of the family's 2987-position model. Lineage: Eukaryota; Metazoa; Arthropoda; Insecta; Diptera; Psychodidae. The record is from RNAcentral.